UGCCGGGUCGUCUAAUGGUAGGACAAUGGACUCUGGCUCCAUUAAUCUUGGUUCGAAUCCAAGCCCGGCAGCCA
RNAcentral lists this transfer RNA (74 nucleotides) under Parcubacteria group bacterium ADurb.Bin159. RNAcentral describes it as "tRNA-Gln". It matches the Rfam family "tRNA". From Rfam's summary of the family: Transfer RNA (tRNA) molecules are approximately 80 nucleotides in length. Their secondary structure includes four short double-helical elements and three loops (D, anti-codon, and T loops). The record is from RNAcentral.